RNAcentral lists this ribosomal RNA (251 nucleotides) under uncultured bacterium. RNAcentral's name for it is "partial 16S ribosomal RNA". It matches the Rfam family "Bacterial small subunit ribosomal RNA", at positions 556 to 793 of the family's 1533-position model. The record is from RNAcentral.
GGGCGUAAAGACGCAUGCAGGUGGUUUGUUUAAGUUCAGAUGUGAAAGACCCGGGGCGUCAACCUCGGAAUAGCAUUUGUAAACUAGGCAGACUAGAGUACUGUAGAGGGGGGUAGGGAAUUUCUAGGUGUAGCGGUGAAAUAGCGUAGAGAUCUGAAGGAAUACCGGUGGCGAAGGCGGCCCCCUCGGACAGAUACUGACACUCAGAUGCGAAAGCGUGGGGAGCAAACAGGAUUAGAUACCCCUGGUAG